AUUGAACGCUGGCGGCAUGCCUUACACAUGCAAGUCGAACGGCAGCAUGAUCUAGCUUGCUAGAUUGAUGGCGAGUGGCGAACGGGUGAGUAAUACAUCGGAACGUGCCCUGUUGUGGGGGAUAACUAGUCGAUAGAUUAGCUAAUACCGCAUACGACCUGAGGGUGAAAGUGGGGGACCGCCAGGCCUCAUGCUAUAGGCGUGGCCGAUGUCUGAUUACCUAGUUGGUGAGGUAAAGGCUCACCAAGGCGACGAUCAGUAGCUGGUCUCAGAGGACGAUCAGCCACACUGUGACUGAAACACGUCCUGGACUCCUACGGAGGGCAGCAGUGGGGAAUUUUGGACAAUGGACGAAAGCCUGAUCCAGCAAUGCCGCGUGUGUGAAGAAGGCCUUCGGGUUGUAAAGCACUUUUGUCCGGGAAGAAAUGGCUCUGGUUAAUACCUGGGGUCGAUGACGGUACCGGAAGAAUAAGGACCGGCUAACUACGUG
RNAcentral lists this ribosomal RNA (490 nucleotides) under uncultured bacterium. RNAcentral's name for it is "partial 16S ribosomal RNA". It matches the Rfam family "Bacterial small subunit ribosomal RNA", at positions 30 to 507 of the family's 1533-position model. The record is from RNAcentral.